CUUCCCUAAUGUUUACCUUUCUGUAAAUGGUCUACAUAACAGGGAAUUCCAUGAAGAAUUUAAAGAUAGACAAAAUUAUGGGUAGAGAAACAGGAGGUCUGUGUCUGGAUCUGAACCCUGUUGAGCUGGGUGCUGCACUUUGUGAAAAAUUGUGCUAUCUCUGAAAGAGCUUGUGAUCUAAAUGGUUAGUAGCAGGACUGACAGCUUGGUGACACUAGUGACAAAAGGUUGUUUAACACAAAUCAUGGGACCUGGCAUGGCAGAAAGGAGGGUACUGCCAGAAGACAGAGCAAGGAAAAAUAACUUUGUGUUGAGCUCAAUGAAUUCAGUUCAGCUGGUACUGGAAGAAUGA
RNAcentral lists this long non-coding RNA (352 nucleotides) under Cyanistes caeruleus (blue tit). RNAcentral describes it as "lncRNA (ENSCCEG00000015784.1)". The record is from RNAcentral. Lineage: Eukaryota; Metazoa; Chordata; Aves; Passeriformes; Paridae.